RNAcentral lists this ribosomal RNA (301 nucleotides) under uncultured bacterium. RNAcentral describes it as "partial 16S ribosomal RNA". It matches the Rfam family "Bacterial small subunit ribosomal RNA", at positions 509 to 807 of the family's 1533-position model. The record is from RNAcentral.
CAGCCGCCGCGGUAAUACGUAGGGUGCGAGCGUUAAUCGGAAUUACUGGGCGUAAAGCGUGCGCAGGCGGUUAUGUAAGACAGGUGUGAAAUCCCCGGGCUUAACCUGGGAACUGCGCUUGUGACUGCACAGCUAGAGUAUGGCAGAGGGGGGUGGAAUUCCACGUGUAGCAGUGAAAUGCGUAGAGAUGUGGAGGAACACCGAUGGCGAAGGCAGCCCCCUGGGCCAAUACUGACGCUCAUGCACGAAAGCGUGGGGAGCAAACAGGAUUAGAUACCCGAGUAGUCCCUGUCUCUUAUAC